CACGUGGGAAGCCCUAACCCCGUCCUCGUCCUCGGUAGCGUGGUGCUCGUCCUCCUGGGAGGAGCCCGGCGAGGCCCUGUGGCUGAGACUCGGGCACCUGGCUCUGCUCUGGCCCCCCUAGAAGACCCUGACGCCUAGUCUCUGGAUUCAGACCUCGCCUGCAAAAACAACGUGACCACAUCAGCUCAGCCUGCACCACCAACUGCUCUGAGAUGAGGCGUGAGGUUCCCUUUGGAGGUAGCAGGCAUCUUCAUCCAUCCUCAGCACCCGCCACCCCAGGAGCCAGCCUGCAGAGCCAAGCAUGCGGCAAGCCCUCUGUCUACAUCCUGUGACUACAUUAUUAUUAUGAAGCCUGCCCUAAUGCACAUAUUAGGCUGGAAGAGGGGUGAUGUGGAAUAUAUCCCACCGCUGGCUGUGGCACCGGAGCCAGCCCAGGAGCCUCCCUUCUCCAAGAGGGGCUUGGAGGGGAGCCGUGGCACCCCACAAGGACUAUCCUGCUGGCUGGCUGCAGAGGAGUU
This 518-nucleotide long non-coding RNA is filed under the name Homo sapiens (human). Its description in RNAcentral is "HSALNT0156285". Lineage: Eukaryota; Metazoa; Chordata; Mammalia; Primates; Hominidae. The record is from RNAcentral.